Molecule: long non-coding RNA, 419 nt
Organism: Jatropha curcas
Lineage: Eukaryota; Viridiplantae; Streptophyta; Magnoliopsida; Malpighiales; Euphorbiaceae
Source: RefSeq, a predicted model, not a curated record
AACAAAGAUCUCUCAAAUCUCAACCCAAAGUCUAGCGUUUCUCCUCUCCCUCCCUCUACCUGCGCCGCUCUCGUUCUCUCCUUCUACAGCCACAGUCUUUGUUUAUACCUCACCAUCGCUUUCGUUCUUGACUGUCGCCUCCGCAGCAGUCGUGCUCUUUAAGCGUACAAGAGCCAGAUUUUUGUUCAUGUGCGGAGGAAGAUGAUGUUGAUUGUUAAUCCUUGCAAUCUUGGUUCUUGAACAAGUGGAGUUCAAGAAUUAUGUUUAUGUAAAAUUUCUUCUGUUGUUAUUAUAAUUUUGUUCUGUUUUAAUGUACUUUUUAAUUCAGUAAUUUUUUUUAUUGAGAUACUUUUUAAUAUGUUCUAUAUGGAUUUAGUUCUCAUGCAAGUAUUAUGUUUAUGUAAAAUUUUUUAUGUUUA